Molecule: ribosomal RNA, 535 nt
Filed under: uncultured bacterium
Lineage: Bacteria
Description: partial 16S ribosomal RNA
Rfam family: Bacterial small subunit ribosomal RNA
Source: RNAcentral
UGGGGAAUAUUGCACAAUGGGCGAAAGCCUGAUGCAGCAACGCCGCGUGAGGGACGACGGCCUUCGGGUUGUAAACCUCUUUUAGCAAGGAAGAAGCGAAAGUGACGGUACUUGCAGAAAAAGCGCCGGCUAACUACGUGCCAGCAGCCGCGGUAAUACGUAGGGCGCAAGCGUUAUCCGGAAUUAUUGGGCGUAAAGAGCCCGUAGGCGGUUUGUCGCGUCUGCUGUGAAAACCCGAGGCUCAACCUCGGGCCUGCAGUGGGUACGGGCAGACUAGAGUGCGGUAGGGGAGAUUGGAACUCCUGGUGUAGCGGUGGAAUGCGCAGAUAUCAGGAAGAACACCGAUGGCGAAGGCAGAUCUCUGGGCCGUAACUGACGCUGAGGAGCGAAAGGGUGGGGAGCAAACAGGCUUAGAUACCCUGGUAGUCCACCCGUAAACGUUGGGAACUAGUUGUGGGGUCCAUUCCACGGAUUCCGUGACGCAGCUAACGCAUUAAGUUCCCCGCCUGGGGAGUACGGCCGCAAGGCUAAAACU